UACGUAGGGGACGAGCGUUGUCCGGAAUUACUGGGCGUAAAGGGCGCGCAGGCUGUUAUGCGAGUCUGCUGGAAAUGUACCGGCUCAACCGGUGCCUUGCGGCGGAUACUGCAUAGCUGGAGUACUGGAGAGGAGAGCGGAAUUCUUGGUGUAGCGGUGAAAUGCGUAGAUAUCAAGAGGAACACCGGUGGCGAAGGCGGCUCUCUGGACAGAUACUGACGCUGAGGCUCUAAAGUUAGGGGAGCAAACAGGA
Molecule: ribosomal RNA, 253 nt
Filed under: uncultured prokaryote
Description: partial 16S ribosomal RNA
Rfam family: Bacterial small subunit ribosomal RNA
Source: RNAcentral